Long non-coding RNA from Gallus gallus (chicken), 2138 nucleotides. Lineage: Eukaryota; Metazoa; Chordata; Aves; Galliformes; Phasianidae. The record is from Ensembl.
AUUUUGAGCUCAACACUUGACAGUCUGAAAAGAUACGCAGUUAUUUUGAGGCCUAAAUGAUUGCUGAGCUACUUGGGAAGGCUGGGCUGUCCCUGGUGUGAUUUAUGUGGCAGUGCCAUGUCAGCCCAGGUCUGGAUCCCACCAAGAAGGGGGACCGACUUCUCCAAUAAGACCCUUCAUAAAUAAGUCGCAGAAAUUGAGGAGGAAAUGUUCUCACGCCUCCGAACAAUCCCAUCGAGUCACAGCGGAGGCAUCCAUCGAUGGGGAGCAUUGUUCCGUUGUGCACGUUGCCUCCUCCCUGAAUAAAUAGGGGAUUGUCAGGCCACCUUUCUUUCUUGGAUUUUUACCUGUAGAAAAUGACAUCGCAGCAGCUAAGGUGCAGCUAAGAUCAAGAUGAGUUUCCUGAGUGAGUUACAAGAAAAAUCCUAGUCCUAAAAUUGUCAGCUUGGGAGUAGUUCAGAAGCAGCGCAACCCAGAAGGAUGCUGGUUACUUCAAGCUUCACGGGGUGAUACAAGGUGGGGAAACGUGGGCUGAUAUUCUGCUUGGGUUUAGGCACUGGCUGAACCCUUUGAAGAACUCUGUCUCUCCCUGGCAGGCUGUUUGGGGUAUGCCUCUUGUGGCAGCAUUAGUGUGUGGCUCAGAAGAUUGAGAGAAGCGCAUGCUGUGGCAUCAGCAGAAGACUGUGCUCUAGCCUCUGAUGAUGUACUCUGAUGCUUGUGGUCAGGAAAUAGCUUCAGAAUGAUGGCAGAUCUCUUCACAGGGGAAUAAGAACAAGGUUUGGCACAUAGUUGCCUCUCUCUCUUUUCUCCUUCUCCAGAGAACCACUGCUGUGCAGUGAUGGGUGUUCACCCUGCUGUUCCUAGAGGGGAAGCAAGAGCAGGAUGAAGUAGGGUGCAAAUGUUUUAUAAACACAACUGGAAGAAUGAAAAACAAAUAUCUUCUUCUUUGGAACUAAUUUUUCCACUAACUAAAGCCAGACACAUAUAUAUAAUAUAUAUAAUAUGCACAUACACGUACGCACAUAUAUUGCUCGGAAAUCUUCCUGCACAUUUUUUCUUCCACCUUCAAAAUGUAUUAACCUAAGGUCACGAAGAUGGAGCUCCAUACAGAUCAAAACUAGCAGUUCUGAGAAGGUGGUAGUGUUUUACAUCGGGCACUGUCCUCCAGUAUAUGAAAAGAACUCUAGGAAGGCAACUGAAUUCUAGGAACGGUUAGAUAGGGGGCUGAAACGACAGCAUCAACAAGAGCUUUUAUUACUGUGGAAUCUGAUAUCUGAAGGAAAUUGGAGCAUUUUCCUGGAUGUUUUGCUGUGGAUACACAUCUUUGCCUAAUAAACAAAAAGUGUAAUGGAGUGAGAUCUGAUAAUGGCAAAGCGGGAUAGGAGAUGAGCUUCUCUGGGCCACAGGUGGCCAACUGCACAGCCAGAAAACCCUGUUCUUCUUUCUGCCCUGGGAGGUGCCUGCUGUCUGAGACUGGUAAGGACUGUCCUGAAUCAAUUUGAGGCAAUCAACAUCACUUUGUGGACACUUGAAAGUAUUUCUCUGGAGCUGUUUGCCUUUGAAAGAGGGUGCUUGAAGUGUUCACUGGCUGAAGACUUGGCCUGUGAGCAAAUAAGUCCAGCUUGAUACAGGAGACUGGGAGAUGAUACCAUUGUAGCCUGUGAAGACAGGCAUCUCCCUGCUUCCUCUUAUCUGCUGACUUAAAUUUGCAAGGCCUGGAAGAUGGGAACAGAAGAGUUCCUACUGAAAUCCCAAGGCUAGAAGCUGUCACUGAAAGGAGCUGACUUGACCACUUUGGACUAUAAAUAAGAGUUUGUACUGUCAUCAUUAGUAGUCAUCAACUGAACAACACAACCUCUGACGACCCAUCAGACUGAAGAUCAGCAGCUGACAUCAAGACAUCCCUGGAUCUAGGAGUGGUGAACUGCAUUGCUUUACUGUGUCUAUAGUUCUGUCUGUCCUUCUUUCCCUGUUUUCUAUUUUUUUCCCUUUAUCUUCUUUUAUUCUUUACUCUUCGUAGUAACUGUUGCCUAAAAUUGUCUUACCUGUAAAUCUUAUUAAUCGUAAUUAGCCAGUUAGCCAAGUUUACAUCCAAGUAGUUGUUAGUUGUUAAGAGAGCUCUCAAUGAAUUGAUGCGU